RNAcentral lists this ribosomal RNA (424 nucleotides) under uncultured prokaryote. RNAcentral describes it as "bacterial SSU rRNA". It matches the Rfam family "Bacterial small subunit ribosomal RNA", at positions 355 to 774 of the family's 1533-position model. The record is from RNAcentral.
UUAAGAAUCUUGCGCAAUGGGGGAAACCCUGACGCAGCGACGCCGCGUGGACGAUGAAGGCCUUCGGGUUGUAAAGUCCGAUAAGCGGGGAAGAAUAAGCAACGGGUAAUAUUCGUUGUGAUGACGGUACCUGCCUAAAGCCCCGGCUAACUACGUGCCAGCAGCCGCGGUAAUACGUAUGGGGCUAGCGUUGUUCGGAAUUAUUGGGCGUAAAGGGCGUCUAGGCGGGGGAUUAAGUUGGGUGUGAAAUCCCGUGGCUCAACCCAGGAACUGCAUCAAAAACUGGUUCUCUUGAGUUCGGGAGAGGAGAGCGGAAUUCCCGGUGUAGCGGUGAAAUGCGUAGAUAUCGGGAAGAACACCAGUGGCGAAGGCGGCUCUCUGGCCUAGAACUGACGCUGAAGCGUGAAAGCGUGGGGAGCGAACG